Molecule: small RNA, 900 nt
Filed under: Pan troglodytes (chimpanzee)
Lineage: Eukaryota; Metazoa; Chordata; Mammalia; Primates; Hominidae
Description: retained intron
Rfam family: Small nucleolar RNA SNORD44 (bases 534-594)
Source: RNAcentral
CUUUUCGAGGUAGGAGUCGAGUACUGUAAGGUAUGGUGCUGGGUGCAGAUGCAGUGUGGCUCUGGAUAGCACCUUAUGGACAGUUGUGUCCCCAAGGAAGGAUGAGAAUAGCUACUGAAGUAAGUUGAAAAUUCCCUCUCAAAAAGAUUUAAAGCCAUUGGAUGUGCCACAAUGAUGACAGUUUAUUUGCUACUCUUGAGUGCUAGAAUGAUGAGGAUCUUAACCACCAUUAUCUUAACUGAGGCACCCAAAAUGGUGAUUUGGGGAACAUAGAGAGUACACCUAAGUUCACAUGAAGUUGUUUCUUCCCAGGUCCUAAACAGCAAGCCUAACUCAAGCCAUUGGCACACAGGCAUUAGACAGAAAGCUGGAAGUUGAAAUGGUAAGUGAAACUGUAUCCAAGUAAACAGGUAACUGGGCAAACUGCCUACGGCACAAAUGGCUUUUUAGUUACCUCCUACUAGUGCUGAAUGCAUUAAAUAAAUGGCGGAUUCUUGUCUUGUUAUGAUUAAUAAGAAAGUUUGUAAAUGCAGCCUGGAUGAUGAUAAGCAAAUGCUGACUGAACAUGAAGGUCUUAAUUAGCUCUAACUGACUAAAGGCAUUUGUUAGUUUUGGCAGGGGGUGAACACUCAUCUGUGGCUAUUCUAAGACCACUCUUAUUUCUUAGGUGGAGUCCAACUUGCCUGGACCAGCUUAAUGGUUCUGCUCCUGGUAACGUUUUUAUCCAUGGAUGACUUGCUUGGGUAAGGACAUGAAGACAGUUCCUGUCAUACCUUUUAAAGGUACAUGUUUUAUUGAUGUUAACGUUAAUUGAUUGAGCUACUGUUAGUGAUGAUUUUAAAAUUAAAGCAGAUGGGAAUCUCUCUGAGAAAGAAAAUGGAGAUUAAUCUUAAACUGAAA